ACAUAUUGAAAUCAGACAUCAUUUUAUAAGAGAACAUGUUCAAAAUAAAGACAUAAUUCUUGACUAUGUUUGUACUGAAAAAUAAUUAGCCGACAUCUUUACAAAGGCCCUAAGUGAAGAUAGAUUCUGUGAAAUUAGGAGAGAACUAAGAAUCCUUGAUCCAUCUGCUUAAAUAUCUCUCUGAUUCCAAGGAAUCAAUGUCAAAAACUCUUUGAACUCAAUUCUCAUCAUUUCUCUUGGAC
This 242-nucleotide long non-coding RNA is filed under the name Elaeis guineensis (African oil palm). RNAcentral's name for it is "long non-coding RNA (EGUI_LNC035512)". Lineage: Eukaryota; Viridiplantae; Streptophyta; Magnoliopsida; Arecales; Arecaceae. The record is from RNAcentral.